UAAAUAGUUAAUGAAAUGCUUCUUUUAAACACCCACGAAAUUGUUUUCGAUUCUCUCUAAUGAUUCUUUUGUGUGUCUCGCACGCCAACACAAUAAUAAUUGAUGUCAUUUCUGGGUGUAGCUUUGCAGAUCAUCGUGCGCAGUGCGGUACCGUGAACCCGCCUGAUGAACCAUAAAUAGGACGGCGAGGUCAGCCAUUUUGCAUCAUUUAACGUCUAUCAAAAUGACACAGCCAUACCACGCACUCGUUCCGACACUCCUAAGACACUGUGGGUUAUGUAACGACGAAAAAACACACACAAUGAUGGCAGAGAAAUCCCACGAAAGUGUGUGUGUGCAUCCAUCAUCGAUGGUAAUUAGUUGUUUUAAUGCUCCCAUUGUUCGCUUCGAUAUUAUUGAGUAAGAAGACGGGGAGAGAAUUCACUGAACAAGAAACAAUUAAACCAGACUCAGACGCGCUCAAGGUCACCGCCUAAAUUAUUAUUCAUUAAUUACAUGCUAAUCUAUUUCACAUUCGGAGUCAUUGGCUCCAGCCAUCUACAAGUCAUAUUUGCCAAACUAUAAAGGCGAAUGUUUACAUAAUUAUGUUUUAGUUAACAUUUACAUCACCUUGACUGGCGGAAAAGAACAAAUAGAAAAUUUCGAGGUGACCCUUUGUCCCUUAUUUUUGCACGAUCAAACCGCGAAUCGGUGCAAAAACCAAGCGACAUGUCACGACACUCGUCGAGGCUACAAGAAACCAUUCUGGUUAUGGUAUUUUUUCGCCGGCACCUCUCGUUAACCUUGUAUUACGAAAUGGCGUGUAAUCUAGCCCGCAGUGUGAAAUUACGGUAAAUUAUGGAAAGUAUCUUUUAAUAUUAAACGCAUUCGUUUGCGUUUCCUGUGUUACAUUAGCAUAGCAAUGGCGAGAAAGUUGUUUCGUUA
This is a long non-coding RNA of Tribolium castaneum (red flour beetle), 924 nucleotides long. RefSeq lists it as uncharacterized. The transcript has 3 exons. The record is from RefSeq and is a predicted model, not a curated record. Lineage: Eukaryota; Metazoa; Arthropoda; Insecta; Coleoptera; Tenebrionidae.